Lytechinus variegatus (green sea urchin) is the source of this 239-nucleotide long non-coding RNA. RefSeq lists it as uncharacterized. The record is from RefSeq and is a predicted model, not a curated record. The transcript has 2 exons. NCBI's taxonomy places the organism in Eukaryota, Metazoa, Echinodermata, Echinoidea, Temnopleuroida, Toxopneustidae.
UUCAUCACCCCUGGAUCGGUGAGGCUGGGGUCGUCGGCUGAUCGCGAUAGGUUGGUUGAACACCUAGCAUUUAAGCUCCCGGAUGGAAACAUGGCACUUGUCGUCUUGAACAGGAAGGAGUUCACAUUUCCUCUUCAUAUCUAUGAUCCGGAAGUGGGCUAUCUCAACGCUGAGAUUCCAUCUCGUUCAAUUCAAACGUAUAUAUGGAAAUAAUAAUCUAAUAAUUGAAGAAGCCCCCC